CGUAGGGUCCGAGCGUUGUCCGGAAUUAUUGGGCGUAAAGGGCUCGUAGGCGGUUUGUCACGUCGGGAGUGAAAACUCAGGGCUCAACCCUGAGCGUGCUUCCGAUACGGGCAGACUAGAGGUAUGCAGGGGAGAACGGAAUUCCUGGUGUAGCGGUGGAAUGCGCAGAUAUCAGGAGGAACACCGGUGGCGAAGGCGGUUCUCUGGGCAUUACCUGACGCUGAGGAGCGAAAGCAUGGGGAGCGAACAGGAUUAGAUACCCUGGUAGUCCAUGCCGUAAACGUUGGGCGCUAGGUGUGGGGACCUUCCACGGUUUCCGUGCCGCAGCUAACGCAUUAAGCGCCCCGCCUGGGGAGUACGGCCGCAAGGCUA
Molecule: ribosomal RNA, 372 nt
Filed under: uncultured organism
Description: bacterial SSU rRNA
Rfam family: Bacterial small subunit ribosomal RNA
Source: RNAcentral